UACGUAGGGGGCGAGCGUUGUCCGGAAUUAUUGGGCGUAAAGCGCGCGCAGGCGGUUUUUUAAGUCAGGAGUUUAAGCCCGGGGCUCAACCCCGGUACGCUCCUGAAACUGGGAGACUUGAGUGCAGUAGAGGAGAGUGGAAUUCCACGUGUAGCGGUGAAAUGCGUAGAGAUGUGGAGGAACACCAGUGGCGAAGGCGACUCUCUGGGCUGUAACUGACGCUGAGGCGCGAAAGCGUGGGGAGCAAACAGG
This 252-nucleotide ribosomal RNA is filed under the name uncultured bacterium. RNAcentral describes it as "partial 16S ribosomal RNA". It matches the Rfam family "Bacterial small subunit ribosomal RNA", at positions 524 to 776 of the family's 1533-position model. The record is from RNAcentral.